RNAcentral lists this ribosomal RNA (532 nucleotides) under Fusarium oxysporum. Its description in RNAcentral is "partial 28S ribosomal RNA". The stretch from base 1 to 111 matches the Rfam family "Eukaryotic large subunit ribosomal RNA", at positions 3292 to 3401 of the family's 3401-position model. The record is from RNAcentral. Lineage: Eukaryota; Fungi; Ascomycota; Sordariomycetes; Hypocreales; Nectriaceae.
GGGGUCAAAUCCUUUGCAGACGACUUAGCUGUGCGAAACGGUCCUGUAAGCAGUAGAGUAGCCUUGUUGUUACGAUCUGCUGAGGGUAAGCCGUCCUUCGCCUCGAUUUCCCCAAUGGGUUCUCCGGAUUUCUGGAGACUUGUAGGGGUUGUGGGAUUUUUGAUGUGUCGUCUCCGGACGGGCGGUGCAGGGUAGUCGAGUUAGACUUGGUGGAAUUCCGUCGAUAGGAGUUCCGUCGAGUCUGGUCGGCUGUGUGUUGGACGGUGCAGGGUAGGCUGCUUGGACAUGGUCGGUUCGAGGAUCGAUUCGAGGGCCGGCCUGUCGAUGAUGUGUGAUGUAUGCGGUCUAGGGUAGGCUGGUUUGUCUUGGUUCAAUUUGAUGUCGGCUCCCGUGCAGGCCAGAGUGAGGGGGGUCCAGGGUAGGUACAGGGUAGGCAGCUUAGAUUUGGUCGAUCUGGAGGUCGAUUCUCCGGCUGGCGGAUCUGACACUGUCGAAACGAGAUGCGAGCGGUGUAGGGUAGGCUAGUUUCGCC